RNAcentral lists this microRNA precursor (62 nucleotides) under Pristionchus pacificus. RNAcentral's name for it is "mir-8364 microRNA precursor family". It matches the Rfam family "mir-8364 microRNA precursor family". The record is from Rfam by way of RNAcentral. Lineage: Eukaryota; Metazoa; Nematoda; Chromadorea; Rhabditida; Neodiplogasteridae.
UCCUCAAUUUGCAUGCUCUCUCGCCGGUCAGACAGAGCGAGAGAGCGUGCGAAUUGAGGAGA